GUGAAUCAAACAACGUGACCUUCAGUAUGACACUUCAAACAACGUGACCUUCAGUAUGACACUCUCCCAACUGAGCUAUCCCCGCAAUUGGUACAGAACAAAAAACUUUUAACUCUCUUUUGCAGAUGGUUCCACCUGUGCGGUGAACGUGGAUCGAACACGUGACCUUCAGAUCUUCAGUCUGACGCUCUCCCAACUGAGCUAUCCCCGCAACGGGUAAUUUUCUUGUGUAGAAAUGAGUUGACGUGGAAAUUCUAAUAUGAUGUGUGUUAAUGGGUUUAGGGAGAUACAUGAAAAAGAUGAACCACAAGUUAUGUAUGUGACCUUUGCAUGCACACAACAAAAGACUUUUAAAUCUCUUUUGCAUAUGGUUCAUGAAUAUAGAGUGUACACACCAUUUGUGAGGUGAACGUGGAUCGAACACGUGACCUUCAGAUCUUCAGUCUGACGCUCUCCCAACUGAGUUAUCCCCGCAACGGGUACAUAACAAAAGACUUUAACUCUCUUUUGCAGAUG
Long non-coding RNA from Cucurbita maxima (winter squash), 516 nucleotides. RefSeq lists it as uncharacterized. The transcript has 3 exons. Lineage: Eukaryota; Viridiplantae; Streptophyta; Magnoliopsida; Cucurbitales; Cucurbitaceae. The record is from RefSeq and is a predicted model, not a curated record.